AAUCCCCUUCCUUCGCCUCUCCUCGUGUGGCUCUCUGGAGAAACACUCGCUGCUUGUCUCGCCUCCAUUGUAUUAUUUCGUCCCUCGUGUAGCUUGACCGGCCGGCGUGCGAAGAUGCCGGGCGGAGGGUUCGCCGUGUCGGCGCCUUCCGGCGUGGAGUUCGAGGCCAAGAUCACGCCCAUCGUCAUCAUCUCCUGCAUCAUGGCGGCCACCGGCGGCCUCAUGUUCGGCUACGACGUCGGCAUCUCAGGCGGAGUGACGUCGAUGGACGAUUUCCUGCGCGAGUUCUUCCCGGCGGUGUUGCGCCGGAAGAACCAGGACAAGGAGAGCAAUUACUGCAAGUACGACAACCAGGGCCUGCAGCUCUUCACGUCGUCGCUUUACCUCGCCGGCCUCACCGCCACCUUCUUCGCCUCCUACACCACCCGCCGCCUCGGCCGCCGCCUCACCAUGCUCAUCGCCGGCGUCUUUUUCAUCAUCGGCGUCAUCUUCAACGGGGGCGCGCAGAACCUCGCCAUGCUCAUCAUCGGCAGGAUCCUGCUCGGCUGCGGCGUCGGCUUCGCCAACCAGGCCGUUCCCCUGUUCCUGUCGGAGAUCGCGCCGACGAGGAUCCGCGGCGGGCUCAACAUCCUGUUCCAGCUGAACGUGACCAUCGGCAUCCUGUUCGCGAACCUGGUGAACUACGGCACGAGCAAGAUCCACCCAUGGGGCUGGCGGCUGUCGCUGUCGCUGGCCGGCAUCCCGGCGGCGAUGCUCACCCUGGGCGCGCUCUUCGUCACCGACACCCCCAACAGCCUCAUCGAGCGCGGCCACCUGGAGGAGGGCAGGGCGGUGCUCAAGCGCAUCCGCGGCACCGACAACGUGGAGCCGGAGUUCAACGAGAUCGUGGAGGCGAGCCGGAUCGCGCAGGAGGUGAAGCACCCGUUCCGCAACCUGCUCCAGCGCCGGAACCGGCCCCAGCUGGUCAUCGCCGUGCUCCUCCAGAUCUUCCAGCAGUUCACGGGCAUCAACGCCAUCAUGUUCUACGCCCCCGUGCUGUUCAACACGCUGGGGUUCAAGAGCGACGCGUCGCUCUACUCGGCGGUGAUCACCGGCGCCGUCAACGUGCUGGCCACGCUGGUGUCGGUGUACGCCGUGGACCGCGCCGGGCGGCGCGCGCUGCUGCUGGAGGCCGGCGUGCAGAUGUUCCUGUCGCAGGUGGUGAUCGCCGUGGUGCUGGGCAUCAAGGUGACGGACAGGUCCGACAACCUGGGCCACGGGUGGGCCAUCCUGGUGGUGGUCAUGGUGUGCACCUACGUGGCGUCCUUCGCCUGGUCCUGGGGCCCGCUGGGGUGGCUCAUCCCGAGCGAGACGUUCCCGCUGGAGACGCGGUCGGCCGGGCAGAGCGUGACGGUGUGCGUCAACCUGCUCUUCACCUUCCUCAUCGCGCAGGCGUUCCUCUCCAUGCUCUGCCACCUCAAGUUCGCCAUCUUCAUCUUCUUCUCGGCGUGGGUGCUCGUCAUGUCCGUCUUCGUGCUCUUCUUCCUCCCGGAGACCAAGAACGUGCCCAUCGAGGAGAUGACCGACAAGGUGUGGAAGCAGCACUGGUUCUGGAAGAGGUACAUGGACGACGACGACCACCACCACCACAACAUCGCCAACGGCAAGAACGCCACCGUCUGAAAAGCGUUACUACUCCUACUAUGUAAAUGUAAGGCUGCCUGCCUGCCUGCACAAGUCGACUUAGAAAGAAGAAAGAUGGAUACUGAGCUUUAUCGAUCGAUCUCAUCUCAUCUCGUCUGGUGUGUAAGAUGUGCAGACACUUUCUCAGUCGCGAGCUCAACUAUUACACCGGUGACAUGCGACGAGGAACAGCAGGCGGUGCGGUAGCAAACCUUGCAGUUCUAUAUAAUAGGUACGCAAUACGUAGUAGUGAAGAGUAUUUCGGUCUUUCUUGUUUAGUAUCCUUUAUUUAUGUGUCUAUUUGUUUGGAGUUGGCCUCUGACAAUGCGAGCCUACCUGUAUACAGCACCUUGUAAGACUGAUGUUGCGAUUCGUUAAUGCACAGCAGUGAUGUUAC
This 2059-nucleotide ribosomal RNA is filed under the name Triticum aestivum (bread wheat). Its description in RNAcentral is "partial small subunit ribosomal RNA". Lineage: Eukaryota; Viridiplantae; Streptophyta; Magnoliopsida; Poales; Poaceae. The record is from RNAcentral.